GUUUAAAAACCAUUUUUCUUAAAAAAAACAGAGAGAAGCUCUCUCUCCCUCAUUCUCUCCGGCCAAGGGGCCGGUCUAGGGCUCCGGCGAACCUCCGCCGAGGCGCCACCGCGUGUGGCGGCCGGAGGUUCAAAAUGGAACCUUUUCGGUUCCUUUUUGAAGCCGAAGGCCUCUUAAACACGGAUCCAACGUCGAAUCUUGUGAAAGGUGAGCCCAACCCCGCCAAACGAGGAGUAACCGUCCGUCUCCUCCUCCUCCGGCGCGGCA
This 267-nucleotide long non-coding RNA is filed under the name Gossypium raimondii (Peruvian cotton). Its description in RNAcentral is "long non-coding RNA (GRAI_LNC011235)". Lineage: Eukaryota; Viridiplantae; Streptophyta; Magnoliopsida; Malvales; Malvaceae. The record is from RNAcentral.